AUUUUCACAAAAAAUCAAAAAAAAAACCAAACCAAACCGAACCGAAAUAUAUAUAUAUAUAUAUAUCAAAAAGUAUGAUUGAUCAACUUAGGCAAUAAAGAAGUUAACAUCCUAAGUUAAUGACUAAAAUUGCCCCUCAUAUCCUUUUGGACAAAUAACUGCAGCUUUAUUUUGAUGGGUGUAUUUAUGUUUACAGGUGCAUUAUAGACCAACUAUUUUUCCAGUCAUCAUGCAGAGUUUUUCACAAUUCAUCCAUGGGUGGUUGUUGAUAAAUAAAAAUUUUGUUAUAAAUUGUGUUUGAAACUAAUCAAUCAAUCAAUCAUUCUUCGCUUGCAGG
This 337-nucleotide unclassified non-coding RNA is filed under the name Hevea brasiliensis (rubber tree). Lineage: Eukaryota; Viridiplantae; Streptophyta; Magnoliopsida; Malpighiales; Euphorbiaceae. The record is from RNAcentral.